This 270-nucleotide long non-coding RNA is filed under the name Phoenix dactylifera (date palm). RNAcentral describes it as "long non-coding RNA (PDAC_LNC009496)". Lineage: Eukaryota; Viridiplantae; Streptophyta; Magnoliopsida; Arecales; Arecaceae. The record is from RNAcentral.
UUAAUCAUUUAUGAUUGAACCAAUUUGAAAUGAUUAUGAUUUAACCUAUGAUGCAUAUAUGAGACUUAUAAAGCAAAUCAUAAUACAUUUCAGAUAAUCAUAUAAGGAAUGAAUGGUAUAAUAAUAACAUGAUGAAUUACAUUCAUACCUUCACGAAGGAUAACAUAAGAUUUUAUAAGUAUUAUGCUCAAUGAAAUCAGCAUCAACCAUUUAUAUUAGAGAAGAAUUUUAGAUUUUGAAAAAUUUAAAGGAGAAGGUUAUACAUAUUCA